UAAUGGAGAGUUUGAUCCUGGCUCAGAAUGAACGCUGGCGGCAUGGAUUAGGCAUGCAAGUCGAACGUG
This 69-nucleotide ribosomal RNA is filed under the name Lentisphaerota bacterium. RNAcentral's name for it is "Lentisphaerae bacterium (anaerobic digester metagenome) partial 16S ribosomal RNA". It matches the Rfam family "Bacterial small subunit ribosomal RNA", at positions 1 to 70 of the family's 1533-position model. The record is from RNAcentral. Lineage: Bacteria; Pseudomonadati; Lentisphaerota.